RNAcentral lists this ribosomal RNA (253 nucleotides) under uncultured bacterium. RNAcentral describes it as "partial 16S ribosomal RNA". It matches the Rfam family "Bacterial small subunit ribosomal RNA", at positions 524 to 776 of the family's 1533-position model. The record is from RNAcentral.
UACGGGGGGGGCAAGCGUUGUUCGGAAUUACUGGGCGUAAAGGGUUCGUAGGUGGCUAGCUAAGCCAGACGUGAAAUCCCUCAGCUUAACUGGGGAACUGCGUCUGGGACUGGAUAGCUUGAGUGCAGGAGAGGAACGCGGAAUUCCAGGUGUAGCGGUGAAAUGCGUAGAUAUCUGGAGGAACACCGGUGGCGAAGGCGGCGCUCUGGACUGCAACUGACACUGAGGAACGAAAGCCAGGGGAGCAAACGGG